AAAACCCGAUACGGAAGUUGAGAUGCCACUAAUAAGUAACGACGAUGUUCCACUGGUUGCUAAGUUGGAUACUAAAAAUUUGAAUAAGGCAAUAAAGACAUACAUUAAUAAAACUAUGGAAAAGAGUGUUAUGGAAAAUUUUUCCGAAUUGAAAUUGGAUAUACUGUCUAAAAUUAAAACAGGUAAUUAUGAAUAUCGUUAGUGCUUUAGUAUGAUACGAC
This 221-nucleotide long non-coding RNA is filed under the name Mytilus galloprovincialis (Mediterranean mussel). Lineage: Eukaryota; Metazoa; Mollusca; Bivalvia; Mytilida; Mytilidae. The record is from RNAcentral.